This 44-nucleotide small RNA is filed under the name Arabidopsis thaliana (thale cress). RNAcentral's name for it is "ATSL116190". Lineage: Eukaryota; Viridiplantae; Streptophyta; Magnoliopsida; Brassicales; Brassicaceae. The record is from RNAcentral.
CUCAGUGAUCUGUCCAUCAGAAGCCGUCUCAACAAUCUUCUUGG